This 984-nucleotide non-coding RNA is filed under the name Pongo abelii (Sumatran orangutan). The record is from RNAcentral. Lineage: Eukaryota; Metazoa; Chordata; Mammalia; Primates; Hominidae.
AAAAUCGGCGCUCCAGCAGCUGGGACCUAGGCGUGAGAGCGUUGAAUCAUGAGUGGCACCGUUCGCAAAAAUUGGUAUCUUUGUACAAAGACAGUGCCACAACUCAGUGACCAUCGGGAGAGCAGCCUCAUGAUGGGCGAUGCUCCAUCAGUUGUUUCUCUUGCAAUCUUUUGCAUAGAUCGGUCCGGCCCCGCAUAUGGCGAUGAGGACUCAAGAGACACGGAAAACGUUUUCUUUCUGGAAAACAUGAAAUAGGCUUUGUAGAUGGACAGGAGGUCAAGUGACAAGCGGUGCGCUGCAGAGAGCGAGGACCCACUCUUCUAUUCCUUUGCAGAGGCACGGACACACGGUGUGGCCCGAAACAGCGGCAGGAGAGUGAGACCCGGGCUCCGACCGCGGUGACGGAGUCUCACUCUGUCACCCAGGCUGGAGUGCAGUGGCGCGAUCUUGGCUCACUGCAACCUCCAACUCCCCGGUUCAAGUGAUUCUCCUGCCUCAGCCUCCCGAGUAGGUGGGACUACAGGUGCCUGCCACCACACCUGGCUAAUUUUUUGUAUUUUUAGUAGAGACGGGGUUUCACCGUGUUAGCCAGGGUGGUCUCCAUCUCCUGACCUGGUGAUCCGCCCGCCUUGGCCUCCCAAAGUGCUGGGAUUACAGGUGUGAGCCACUGUGCCCGGCCUAAAAAUUUUUAAAAUUGUGUACAUUAUGUUUUUUUACCACAAUUUAAAAAAUUAAUUUAUAAUAUACAUGCAGAAAAAUGCACAAAUGACAAGUAUAUAUCUUGAUGAAUUUUCACAAAUGGAAUACAUUUGUGUAACCAGCAGCAGAUCAAGAAACAGAACAUUGCUAGUGCCCCAGAAGCCACUUGUGUGUUCCCUCUCAGUCGCUGCUCUUCUCAAGGACAACCACUCUUCUGACUCCUGAUACCAUAAACUAAUUUUGCCUGUUCUUGCUUUUUAUAUAAAGAGAAUCACAGAGUAUGUA